GCGGACGGGUGAGUAAUGCUUGGGAACUUGCCUUUGCGAGGGGGAUAACAGUUGGAAACGACUGCUAAUACCGCAUAAUGUCUACGGACCAAACGGGGCUUCGGCUCCGGCGCAAAGAGAGGCCCAAGUGAGAUUAGCUAGUUGGUAAGGUAACGGCUUACCAAGGCGACGAUCUCUAGCUGUUCUGAGAGGAAGAUCAGCCACACUGGGACUGAGACACGGCCCAGACUCCUACGGGAGGCAGCAGUGGGGAAUAUUGCACAAUGGGGGAAACCCUGAUGCAGCCAUGCCGCGUGUGUGAAGAAGGCCUUCGGGUUGUAAAGCACUUUCAGUUGUGAGGAAAAGUUAGUAGUUAAUACCUGCUAGCCGUGACGUUAACAACAGAAGAAGCACCGGCUAACUCCGUGCCAGCAGCCGCGGUAAUACGGAGGGUGCGAGCGUUAAUCGGAAUUACUGGGCGUAAAGCGCACGCAGGCGGUUUGUUAAGCUAGAUGUGAAAGCCCCGGGCUCAACCUGGGAUGGUCAUUUAGAACUGGCAGACUAGAGUCUUGGAGAGGGGAGUGGAAUUCCAGGUGUAGCGGUGAAAUGCGUAGAUAUCUGGAGGAACAUCAGUGGCGAAGGCGACUCCCUGGCCAAAGACUGACGCUCAUGUGCGAAAGUGUGGGUAGCGAACAGGAUUAGAUACCCUGGUAGUCCACACCGUAAACGCUGUCUACUAGCUGUGUGUGUCUUUAAGACGUGCGUAGCGAAGCUAACGCGCUAAGUAGACCGCC
This 773-nucleotide ribosomal RNA is filed under the name uncultured Alteromonas sp. Its description in RNAcentral is "bacterial SSU rRNA". It matches the Rfam family "Bacterial small subunit ribosomal RNA", at positions 98 to 873 of the family's 1533-position model. The record is from RNAcentral. Lineage: Bacteria; Pseudomonadati; Pseudomonadota; Gammaproteobacteria; Alteromonadales; Alteromonadaceae.